GACUGGGUUGGUUUUUGUCUUUGGUUAUCUAGCUGUAUGAGUGUAUGUGAUAUCAUAAAGCUAGAGAACCGAAUGUAAAAACUGAUUCACUAUUCUCCA
MicroRNA precursor from Chelonoidis abingdonii (Abingdon island giant tortoise), 99 nucleotides. NCBI's taxonomy places the organism in Eukaryota, Metazoa, Chordata, Testudines, Testudinidae. The record is from Ensembl.